RNAcentral lists this transfer RNA (71 nucleotides) under Marmota monax (woodchuck). RNAcentral describes it as "tRNA.Ala". The record is from RNAcentral. Lineage: Eukaryota; Metazoa; Chordata; Mammalia; Rodentia; Sciuridae.
GAGGUUGUGGCUCAAAGGUAGAGUGCUUGCCUAGCAUGUGUGAGGCACUGGGUUCGAUCCUCAGCACCACA